GGCCCCAUAGUCUAGAGGCCUAGGACGCCGGACCCUCAUUCCGGAAACAGCGGUUCGAAUCCGCUUGGGGCUACCA
RNAcentral lists this transfer RNA (76 nucleotides) under Sulfobacillus thermosulfidooxidans. RNAcentral's name for it is "tRNA-Glu". It matches the Rfam family "tRNA". From Rfam's summary of the family: Transfer RNA (tRNA) molecules are approximately 80 nucleotides in length. RNAcentral also lists the same sequence under 13 other names. Lineage: Bacteria; Bacillati; Bacillota; Clostridia; Eubacteriales; Clostridiales Family XVII. Incertae Sedis. The record is from RNAcentral.